Molecule: ribosomal RNA, 393 nt
Filed under: uncultured bacterium
Lineage: Bacteria
Description: partial 16S ribosomal RNA
Rfam family: Bacterial small subunit ribosomal RNA
Source: RNAcentral
AUACGGAGGAUGCGAGCGUUAUCCGGAUUUAUUGGGUUUAAAGGGUGCGUAGGCUGUUUGUCAAGUCAGGGGUGAAAUACCUGGGCUCAACCGAGGAAUUGCCUUUGAUACUGGCAGGCUUGAAUACUGUUGACGUGGGAGGAAUGAGUAGUGUAGCGGUGAAAUGCAUAGAUAUUACUCAGAACACCGAUUGCGAAGGCAUCUCACGAAACAGCGAUUGACGCUGAGGCACGAAAGCGUGGGGAACAAACAGGAUUAGAUACCCUGGUAGUCCACGCAGUAAACGAUGAUAACUAACCGUUGGCGAUAGACAGUCAGUGGCCAAGCGAAAGCGAUAAGUUAUCCACCUGGGGAGUACGACCGCAAGGUUGAAACUCAAAUGAAUUGACGGGG